This is a long non-coding RNA of Limulus polyphemus (Atlantic horseshoe crab), 287 nucleotides long. RefSeq lists it as uncharacterized. Lineage: Eukaryota; Metazoa; Arthropoda; Merostomata; Xiphosura; Limulidae. The transcript is spliced from 3 exons. The record is from RefSeq and is a predicted model, not a curated record.
UAUGAGCCCUAUUUCUGCUGAAGUAAUACCACCUCUACCGUAAAGGAAUGGGUUCGACACCCUACGAAUACUAUUAAAUUUCAAACGUUAUCGAAGGAAUGACAUGAGGCCAUGCUGGCAGUAGGCUCAUCCCCGAGAUGCCUAAACCUGAACCAAUACCAUCUAGUAGUACAUUUAUUCUGGAAACACAACAUUAAUGGAACAAGAACGAAGAAGUGUCCUGGGGAAGAGCUGACGAGGGAAUUCUACAUCUGUAACUGUUAAAAGUUCUAGAUACUGAAGAAACU